CUCAAAAUGGAGGCCCUAUCU
Molecule: microRNA, 21 nt
Filed under: Rattus norvegicus (Norway rat)
Lineage: Eukaryota; Metazoa; Chordata; Mammalia; Rodentia; Muridae
Description: rno-miR-294
Gene: rno-miR-294
Source: miRBase by way of RNAcentral